Molecule: ribosomal RNA, 462 nt
Filed under: uncultured bacterium
Lineage: Bacteria
Description: bacterial SSU rRNA
Rfam family: Bacterial small subunit ribosomal RNA
Source: RNAcentral
GAUGAACGCUGGCGGCGUGCCUAAUACAUGCAAGUCGAGCGGUAAGGCCCCUUCGGGGGUACACGAGCGGCGGACGGCUGAGUAACGCGUAGGAACAUACCCCAAAGUGAGGGAUAACUGCUCGAAAGAGUAGCUAAUACCGCAUGUGCUCUAAGGAGUAAAGCUUCGGCGCUUUGGGAAUGGCCUGCGUAAGAUUAGCUUGUUGGUGAGGUAAUGGCUCACCAAGGCGACGAUCUUUAGCUGGUCUGAGAGGAUGAUCAGCCAGACUGGGACUGAGACACGGCCCAGACUCCUACGGGAGGCAGCAGUAGGGAAUUUUCCACAAUGGGCGAAAGCCUGAUGGAGCAACGCCGCGUGCAGGAUGAAGGCCUUCGGGUUGUAAACUGCUUUUCUAUGCGAAGAUUAUGACGGUAACAUAGGAAUAAGGAUCGGCUAACUCCGUGCCAGCCGCCGCGGUAAAAC